CCGGCACCCAUGACGGCCUGCUUGCAAACCAGCUCCUGGUGAGGCAGACCCGAAAAUCCAGCGUG
Macaca mulatta (Rhesus monkey) is the source of this 65-nucleotide non-coding RNA. NCBI's taxonomy places the organism in Eukaryota, Metazoa, Chordata, Mammalia, Primates, Cercopithecidae. The record is from Rfam.